Molecule: ribosomal RNA, 378 nt
Filed under: Triticum aestivum (bread wheat)
Lineage: Eukaryota; Viridiplantae; Streptophyta; Magnoliopsida; Poales; Poaceae
Description: partial small subunit ribosomal RNA
Source: RNAcentral
GACCACGGACAGUACCUGGGCAGUUCAGCAUUAGUGAUAAGAGGUGUCGACGAUGUCGGGACUCUGGAAGCGAUCGCAUGCCGGGAAGCGAUGUCGUUGGCUGAAGACUUGCACAUCCAUGAUUUCAUCAUAGCUUCAGAUUCCCAACAGGUGGUCAAUGAUAUUAACAAGGGUUAUAUGGGUAGAUAUGGUGCGAUCUUGACAGAGAUUGGCCUGAGAGCCUCUGCGUUUAAUUGUAAAUUUGUGUUUGAGGGGCGGGCGUCGAAUGGUGACGCUCACAAGAUAGCUAGAUCAGCUCUUUCUCUUCAGCAGGGGCGCCAUGUAUGGCUUGUUAAUCCCCAUGCAAACUGUAUUCCACAAACUGUGGCUUUUGAUUAA